RNAcentral lists this ribosomal RNA (253 nucleotides) under uncultured bacterium. RNAcentral describes it as "partial 16S ribosomal RNA". It matches the Rfam family "Bacterial small subunit ribosomal RNA", at positions 524 to 776 of the family's 1533-position model. The record is from RNAcentral.
UACGGGGGGGGCAAGCGUUGUUCGGAAUUACUGGGCGUAAAGGGCUCGUAGGCGGCCAACUAAGUCGGACGUGAAAUCCCUCGGCUUAACCGGGGAACUGCGUCCGAUACUGGAUGGCUCGAGUGUGGGAGAGGGAUGCGGAAUUCCAGGUGUAGCGGUGAAAUGCGUAGAUAUCUGGAGGAACACCGGUGGCGAAGGCGGCAUCCUGGACCACGACUGACGCUGAUGAGCGAAAGCCAGGGGAGCAAACGGG